Long non-coding RNA from Limanda limanda (common dab), 1060 nucleotides. RefSeq lists it as uncharacterized. The transcript is spliced from 4 exons. NCBI's taxonomy places the organism in Eukaryota, Metazoa, Chordata, Actinopteri, Pleuronectiformes, Pleuronectidae. The record is from RefSeq and is a predicted model, not a curated record.
GACAGUGAGAUGGCAAGGCUUCAUUCCUCCAGUCUCACUGAACGUCAGCAAACAGAGUAGCAGAGAAAAGUCUCAGAUCACUGCACGCUGACAUGUUGGACUGACCUGAUAGGAAUCCACAGAUAAGGAAGAAGAGACGCAGCACAUGGAGAGGGCCAAACCAAGUGAGUGAGAAACCACAGGAGUGUCGGAUUCAGGAAAACAACGCAAACAAGCUGCCGACGUUACAGUCUCUCACGCUCUAGAUGCAACAUGUGAUGUGGACAGCAGAGCGUUGAUGGGAUCUGUCAGCGUAGCCAGCCGCUGACAGGGAGACAGAGAAACCUGCCCAGUGAGACAUGGCUCCUCUGUGUCUCCUCAACUAGAAUUCCUGGCAAUUCCAGCCAGCUCAGAUUGUUAUCAGAUCCAAAGACGUCCUGCCACUCAGCCCAAUUUUUUUUGUUCUUACAGAGCAGGAUAGAAUGUGCACCGGAGCAGUGUGAGCUGAGACCUCAGCCUCGUGUCAUCAAUAUUCUUCACAACCUCAUGAAAAGUGAUAUAUUGGGAGUAAUGAUUCGGGGGUGGUGCUGCAAAACCAAGGCCAGUUGUCGAUACACUCCUGUGGUUUAUUGACAAGCAGCUCACAAUGACCAGAGCAAAGGCCAGACUACAGCAGUGUUGAAUGGCGUCAACCACCUGAGGAGCAUACCAGCAAAAAGGAUGCAGGAAGCACUGCACUUAAUAAUUUGAAGUGUUCUUAUUGAAACCAAUGUGGCAUUUGAACAACAGGUUCAAUAUUUAUGGUAGUUACCUUUUCAUACAUUUACUCAUGAUUUAUCAAGACUUCUGUGUUUAAUGGUGAGAAUAUGCACCUGUAUCGGGUUACUGUGUUUGAAAUAUAUAUGGUGGUGUUGUUGCAAUUCAUUUUCAAAAUCAUAUUACAGUCAAAUUUAGAGGAAAUGUGUUCAAUAUUGACAGAAAAACCUGUUUAGAUUAGUUCAACAUAGAUGAGGAAAAAAUCACAAAUAUGUUCAUUGAGUUUAUUGAGAGAAUUUAGUUAAAUAAACCUUAUCUGCACUAA